Molecule: ribosomal RNA, 382 nt
Filed under: uncultured bacterium
Lineage: Bacteria
Description: bacterial SSU rRNA
Rfam family: Bacterial small subunit ribosomal RNA
Source: RNAcentral
CCUUACCAACCCUUGACAUCCUAGGACAACUCCAGAGAUGGAGCCUUCCUUCGGGACCUAGUGACAGGUGCUGCAUGGCUGUCGUCAGCUCGUGUCGUGAGAUGUUCGGUUAAGUCCGGCAACGAGCGCAACCCACGUCUUUAGUUGCCAGCAGCUCGGCUGGGCACUCUAAAGAAACUGCCCGUGAUAAGCGGGAGGAAGGUGUGGAUGACGUCAAGUCCUCAUGGCCCUUACGGGUUGGGCUACACACGUGCUACAAUGGUGCCUACAGUGGGUUAAUCUCCAAAAGGCAUCUCAGUUCGGAUUGGGGUCUGCAACUCGACCCCAUGAAGUCGGAAUCGCUAGUAAUCGCGUAACAGCAUGACGCGGUGAAUACGUUCCC